Molecule: long non-coding RNA, 997 nt
Organism: Nerophis ophidion (straightnose pipefish)
Lineage: Eukaryota; Metazoa; Chordata; Actinopteri; Syngnathiformes; Syngnathidae
Exons: 3
Source: RefSeq, a predicted model, not a curated record
GCGUAGACGGCCCACCUGGGCCUUGUUAUCUAAUCACCUGUCGCUCUGUUAUAAACAGCAGCCAGGAGGAGAGAUGGGGUUGGAGCUAGAGCCAGAGCGAGAACGAAAGAGAAAAAAACCAUUGCUGGAAAGCAACUGAGAGACUUAUUGAGAAAUUAAACACUAUUGUAACCCUGAAACAGGCUCACAUGUCGGUGCUUGGUGGUCUGAAGAACCCCCAGGAGGGCAAGCCCCACACUAACCAAUAAUAAAUAAAUAACGUCUUACCAUUAACGCAAUUUCUUGAACAGGUGUGGUAGAAAACGGAUGGUUGGAUUAAAAAUGCAUGAAAAUGUUUUAUAUUUUGAACGUCAUUUUAACACUGUAAUUACAAGUGGAAUUAUCCAUUACUUAUUGUGUUAAGUAUUGUCAGCUAAGAUUUAUCCGAGAACCAGAUGCAGUCAUCAAAAGAGCCACAUCUGGCUCCCGAGCCAUAGGUUCCCUACCCCUGCUCUAUAGUCUCAUGUUACAUAGUCAGAACAGUCAGAAGACCCCGCCCACGCGCCGCCGCAGCUGGCGGAAAUCUUCAAUCAACGCACCUGGCAGUGAUUACAGACGACAGGAUAAAGAGCCUCGCCGCUGACUUCUUCUGUCCCCAAUUGUCUCCCGGGCCUCCCCUGAUCCUCAGACACCCUGCUUGGACUUUGGAGGUCUCUCUCCUGCCCCAGGACCCCGCUUGGACCCCGGACUUCCUUGCCUUGUCCCUCUUGACUUGGACGCAUGCUAGGUCUGAACAACCACUGAGGAGCCGCCAUCUUGGCGACAUGGCAGGAGGGGCGGGACUUACCAGUACCGUCCAGAAGGUGAUAUUGUGCUUAUUUACAGUAAUGUUGUAGUUAUUUACAGUAAUAUAGUAGUUAUUUACAGUAAUAUUGCAGUUAUCUACAGUAAUAUUGCAGUUAUUUACAUUAUUAUUGUAGUUACAGAAAUAUUGCAGUUAUUUACGGAAAUAUUGUAG